Odocoileus virginianus texanus is the source of this 694-nucleotide long non-coding RNA. RefSeq lists it as uncharacterized. The record is from RefSeq and is a predicted model, not a curated record. NCBI's taxonomy places the organism in Eukaryota, Metazoa, Chordata, Mammalia, Artiodactyla, Cervidae.
GGGACGGAGUGUCCGUUCGGGAAGACGAACAGAUUCUGGGGCUGACGGUGGGGCAGGUAACACAGCCUGGUGAGUGUCAGGGUCCCGAGCCGUGCGCCUGGAAAUGACUGACACAGGAAAUUCUAUAUGGUGUGUUUCUCACCACAGAUAACAAGUUUUUUAAUUUUAAUGGAGAGGGAAAUUGUUAAAGUAAUAAUGGGACAGUUUCCCACAGUAAAAAAUGAAAGUCCUCAGAUGAAAGGGAUGCGGGGGCAGCCCACCAAGAGAAGCAGAAGCCCCAGCACCUUGGCACAGCUGAGCGACGCGCCAGGACCAGAGGAGCUCCCGCCAGAGGGCCCACGGGUGGAGAUGGACGGAAAGCCCCAGUCGCCCAGAACCGAGGACGACUGCACCCCCAGCAGCCAGGAAAGAGCGCCCCACACAGGCAGCUUGAUCAGAGGAAGUCCACACGCUCCGUCCUGGAGAAGGGAAGUCCCAGGUCGAGGGGCUGCAGGGCUGCCCCCCAAGGCUCUAAAGGGGGGAGUGCCACGCUCUCCCCCCGCUGUGGGGGUUUGCUCCGGUCUCCGGCAUCCUCGGCAUCAUCGAGGUGGAAGCCUCACCCCAACCUCUGCCUUCACCUUCCCGUGGCGUCUGACCCCCUGACGUGUGUCCGUCUCCACAUUUCCCCCUUUUAUAAACCAUAAUUGCACAGGAA